AUGUCCUCCUCCUCGUCGCUCAAGCAGGACGACGUCCCCUCCUCGCCGGAGCUCCCCCCGCUGGCCGCGCCAGGCAUCGCGGCGGCGGCCGCCGCGGCCGCGGCCGCCGCUUCGUCCGGCGGCGGAGGGGGAGGGGUAGGGGCGGGCGGCGGCUCCGGGAGGAGGCUGCCCCCGCCGUGCUGGACGCACGAGGAGACCCUCGCGCUAAUCGAGGCGUACCGUGACAAGUGGGAGGCGCUCAAGAAGGGCAACCUGCGGGCGGCAGACUGGGACGAGGUCGCCGGCGCCGUCACCGCCCGCUGCGGGAGGUUCCCCACCGCCACCUACAAGUCCGGCGUGCAGUGCCGCCACAAGAUCGAGAAGCUCCGCAAGCGGUACCGCGCCGAGCGGACGCGCUCCAUGGGGCGCUCCAAGGGCCCCAAGUGGCCCUUCUUCCCGCUCCUCCACGACCUCGCCGGCGGCGGGGUCCCCGACGCCAGCCCCAACCCCAUCAUCAAGAUCAAGCCCAGGGGAAACGCCACCCCGGCGUCCCCUUCCCCCGUGUCGUCCCCCUCGUCCGAGGACGCCGGGCGGAGCAGGAGCCUCCACGGCCUCAUCUCCAACGGCGGGGGCGGCAGCGGGCUGCGCUUCACCAUCCCCAAGGCUUCGCGCACCAAGCCGGGGGUCCCGCGGGAGGCGAGGCCGGACCGGGACAGGGGCGAGGAGGACCCGGAGGCGGAGGCCAUGGCGGAGGUGGCGUCGGCACUGAGGGCCGUCGGCGAGGGGUUCCUGAGGAUGGAGGAGCGCAGGCUGGAGCUCUCGCUCCAGAUGGAGAAGGAGCGGAUGGAGUCGGAGAUGAAGCGCACCCAGGCGCUGCUCGACGCGCAGCAGCUCUUUGUCGAGGCGUUCCUCGGCAAGCAGCAGCCGCACCACAAGAAGCUGGUCUCCUCCGCCGCUGCUAUGGAGGAGGAUUGA
RNAcentral lists this ribosomal RNA (954 nucleotides) under Triticum aestivum (bread wheat). Its description in RNAcentral is "partial small subunit ribosomal RNA". Lineage: Eukaryota; Viridiplantae; Streptophyta; Magnoliopsida; Poales; Poaceae. The record is from RNAcentral.